UCCAGACUCCUACGGGAGGCAGCAGUGGGGAAUAUUGGGCAAUGGGCGAAAGCCUGACCCAGCAAUGCCGCGUGAAUGAAGAAGGUCUUAGGAUUGUAAAAUUCUGUCCUAUGGGAAGAAACAAAUGACGGUACCAUAGGAGGAAGCCCCGGCUAACUACGUGCCAGCAGCCGCGGUAAUACGUAGGGAGCAAGCGUUGUCCGGAAUUACUGGGUGUAAAGGGAGCGUAGGCGGGGAUGCAAGUUGGGUGUCAAAACUACCGGCUCAACCGAUAGUCGCACUCAAAACUGCAGCUCUUGAGUGAAGUAGAGGCAGGCGGAAUUCCUAGUGUAGCGGUGAAAUGCGUAGAUAUUAGGAGGAACACCAGUGGCGAAGGCGACUAUCUGGCACAUAACUGACGCUGAGGAGCGAAAGCGUGGGUAGCAAACAGGAUUAGAUACCCUUGUA
RNAcentral lists this ribosomal RNA (447 nucleotides) under uncultured bacterium. RNAcentral's name for it is "bacterial SSU rRNA". It matches the Rfam family "Bacterial small subunit ribosomal RNA", at positions 330 to 792 of the family's 1533-position model. The record is from RNAcentral.